This 25-nucleotide small RNA is filed under the name Vibrio cholerae O1 biovar El Tor str. N16961. Lineage: Bacteria; Pseudomonadati; Pseudomonadota; Gammaproteobacteria; Vibrionales; Vibrionaceae. The record is from RNAcentral.
CUCCAAAUCUUCCCAAACAAUGACU